Molecule: non-coding RNA, 159 nt
Organism: Clostridium perfringens B str. ATCC 3626
Lineage: Bacteria; Bacillati; Bacillota; Clostridia; Eubacteriales; Clostridiaceae
Source: Rfam
AAUAUUAAUCGGUAGGUGAGGUUACCACCGGGAUACGGAUUGCUGCCGCAAAAUAGUGGAGACACUAUGAGAAGGUUAGCAGGCUAUGUCGAGAAACAAGGCAUAAUCUAAUGCAAUUUCAUUGCCCAGUGAAGCUAAAACUUGAACGAUAUUAUACUU